CCUACGGGAGGCAGCAGUGGGGAAUAUUGCACAAUGGGGGAAACCCUGAUGCAGCGACGCCGCGUGAGUGAAGACGGAUUUCGGUAUGUAAAGCUCUAUCAGCAGGGAAGAAAAUGACGGUACCUGAGUAAGAAGCCCCGGCUAACUACGUGCCAGCAGCCGCGGUAAUACGUAGGGGGCAAGCGUUAUCCGGAUUUACUGGGUGUAAAGGGAGCGUAGACGGCAGCACAAGUCUGCAGUGAAAUGCCGAGGCUUAACCUCGGAACUGCUUUGGAAACUGUGCAGCUAGAGUGCAGGAGAGGUAAGUGGAAUGUCUAGUGUAGCGGUGAAAUGCGUAGAUAUUAGGCGGAACUCCGAUUGCGAAGGCAGCAUACUGGCGCUCAACUGACGCUGAGGCACGAAAGCGUGGGGAUCGAACAGGAUUAGAUACCCCAGUAGUC
RNAcentral lists this ribosomal RNA (440 nucleotides) under uncultured bacterium. RNAcentral describes it as "partial 16S ribosomal RNA". It matches the Rfam family "Bacterial small subunit ribosomal RNA", at positions 338 to 795 of the family's 1533-position model. The record is from RNAcentral.